RNAcentral lists this long non-coding RNA (847 nucleotides) under Rattus norvegicus (Norway rat). Its description in RNAcentral is "long non-coding RNA NONRATT002517". The record is from RNAcentral. Lineage: Eukaryota; Metazoa; Chordata; Mammalia; Rodentia; Muridae.
GAAGAGCCAGCAGCUCCUCGAGAUCUGGGCCUAGGCCUUGGUUUAGGCCUGAAGGAGAAGGAAGAAGCAGUAGUGGCUGCAGCGGCUGGGCUGGAGGAAGCUAGUGCAGCAGUGGCUGUGGGGGCAGGAGGAGCCCCAGCCGGGCCUGCAGUCAUUGGUCCCAGCCUCCCGCUGGCCCUAGCCAUGCCCUUGCCUGAGCCCGAGCCCUUGCCCCUCCCGCUGGAGGUGGUCCGUGGCCUGCUGCCUCCACUUCGAAUUCCUGAGCUCCUGUCUCUGCGCCCACGACCUCGGCCCCCUCGGCCUGAGCCACCUCCUGGCCUCAUGGCCCUAGAGGUAAGCAGGGAAUGUGCAGAGAGGGGACAGAAAGGGCCAGGAGAAAGCAGGAGCCCAUGAGCUUCCACACACAGAACACAGUCCUCUGACCAGAGGGUGGGUGGGAGGGGAGAGGCAGCCCCUUACACUCCACAUCUGGAAGCGGGUCUAGUACUUGAAUCUGAGGUGGCAUGGCUGGAGGCACUGCAGAGCAGAAGACUUCCAACAGCCUUCCCUUCCCCCUGUAGGUUCCAGAGCCACUGGGUGAAGACAAGAAGAAAGGCAAGCCAGAGAAAUUGAAACGCUGCAUUCGUACAGCAGCAGGGAGCAGCUGGGAGGACCCCAGCCUGCUGGAGUGGGAUGCCGGUGAGUGGCCAGAACGAGGGUUUGUAUACUGCCCAUCCAAGAACAGGCUGCACUGAGUUUUCAGGACCACCAACCGAAAAGGAAGCAGGGUGACUCCGUACUGCCUGGAGGGCAGGACUCUCCUCAUGGUGGGAAGAGGUGGGCAUAAUUGGGCUCCAGGGCUUGGUUG